This 403-nucleotide ribosomal RNA is filed under the name uncultured bacterium. RNAcentral's name for it is "partial 16S ribosomal RNA". It matches the Rfam family "Bacterial small subunit ribosomal RNA", at positions 30 to 526 of the family's 1533-position model. The record is from RNAcentral.
AUUGAACGCUAGCGGGAUGCUUUACACAUGCAAGUCGAACGAGUGGCGGACUGAUGAGUAAUGUAUGUGGACUGCUCGAUCGAUGGGGAUAACUACUAGAAACGGUAGAUAAUAACGCAUACGAUCGGAUAACCCAUAUGGUAUUAGAUAGUAGGUGAGGUAAUGGCUCACAUAGGCGACGAUCCCUAGCUGGUCUAGUAGGAUGAUCAGCCACACUGGGACUGAGACACGGCCCAGACUCCUACGGAGGCAGCAGUGGGGAAUAUUGCACAAUGGGCGCAAGCCUGAUGCAGCCAUGCCGCGUGUAUGAAGAAGGCCCUAGGGUUGUAAAGUACUUUCAGUCGGGAGGCGUUACCGACAGAAGAAGCACCGGCUAACUCCGUGCCAGCAGUCGCGGUAAUUC